GCCGACACGUUUACUUUGAGAAAACCAAAGUGUUUAAAGCAGGCGCAAGACGCCAGAAUGACUGUGCAUGGAAUAAUGGAAAAGGAUCUCGUUUCUGUCUUUGUUGGUUCUUCGGAAGACGAGAUAAUGAUUAAUAGGAACAGACGGGGGCAUUCGUAUUGCGACGUUAGAGGUGAAAUUCUUGGAUCGUCGCACGACGAACUAUUGCGAAAGCAUUUGCCAAGAAUGUUUUCGUUAAUCAAGAACGAAAGUUAGAGGUUCGAAGGCGAUCAGAUACCGCCCUAGUUCUAACCAUAAACGAUGCCGACUGGCGAUCCGCCCCAGUUAAUUACACGACUGGGCGGGCAGCCUCCGGGAAACCAAAGUCUUUGGGUUCCGGGGGAAGUAUGGUUGCAAAGCUGAAACUUAAAGAAAUUGACGGAAGGGCACCACCAGGAGUGGAGCCUGCGGCUUAAUUUGACUCAACACGGGAAACCUCACCAGGCCCGGACACCAAAAGGAUUGACAGAUUGAGAGCUCUUUCUUGAUUUGGUGGGUGGUGGUGCAUGGCCGUUCUUAGUUGGUGGAGCGAUUUGUCUGGUUAAUUCCGAUAACGAACGAGACUCUAGCCUGUUAACUAGCCAGUGGAUCAAUAAAUUGAACGCGGCGAAAUCGGGGCACCCUUUAUGGGCGUGUUUCUGGUGGUAGUCGCGUCUACUGCGUCUUCUUAGAGGGACAGGCGGCGCUUAGCCGCACGAGACGGAGCAAUAACAGGUCUGUGAUGCCCUUAGAUGUCCUGGGCCGCACGCGCGCUACAUUGAAGGAAUCAACGUGCACUCCCAGCCCGAGAGGGCCGGGUAACCCGCUGAAAUUCCCUCGUGAUAGGGAUCGGGGAUUGCAACUAUCCCCCGUGAACGAGGAAUUCCCAGUAAGCGCGAGUCAUGAGCUCGCGUUGAUUACGUCCCUGCCCUUUGUACACACCGCCCGUCGCUACUACCGAUUGAAUGAUUUAGUGAGGCCUUUGGACUGGCUCGCCGGUGCACGCCUUCUGGUUGUUGCGCUGGUUAUCGGGCCGGGAAGCUGGCCAAACU
Molecule: ribosomal RNA, 1070 nt
Filed under: Harbansus paucichelatus
Lineage: Eukaryota; Metazoa; Arthropoda; Ostracoda; Myodocopida; Philomedidae
Description: SSU rRNA
Rfam family: Eukaryotic small subunit ribosomal RNA
Source: RNAcentral